GUGCAGUGAAAAGCUGAAGCGCCCCCCUCCCCAGCCUCCCCCAUGGUGGGGUUUGGGGCCAACCGUAGGGGGGGCCGUCUCCCUUCAUUCCUCUUUGUUGCCUUGCUGCUAGUCAUUGCUGUCCUUGCCUUCAAUUACUGGACUACCUCAUCCCGCCAAACGGUCCUGCAGGAGGAGGUGGCAGAGUUGCAGGGCCAGGCCAAGCGCAGUGAUGUUGCCCGGGGGCGCUUGGAGAAGAGGAACUCUGAGCUUUUGCUCCAGGGGGAGCUGCACAAGAAACAGCUGGAGCAGAAGGAAGCUGAGCACAGCCAGCUGAGCAACCAACUGCAAACCAGGGAAGGCCAGAUAAGGAAGUGUGAAGAGAGCAGGAUUAAGCUUCAGAACAACAUAUCAUACCAAAUGGCAGACAUACAUCGCUUAAAGGAACAACUUGCAGAGUUGCGUCAAGAAUUUAUUCGUCAAGAGGACCAGCUUCAUGAAUAUAGGAACAACAAUACACAACUUCUGAAAAGGUUGGAGUAUGAAAGUUUUCAGUGUGGACAUCAGAUCAAAGAACUGAGGAUGCAGCAUGAAGAAAAUAUGAGAAAGUUAGAGGACCAAGUUACACAAGACCAAAAGCAGGCGGCACACAGAAGCCAGUCCAGUAAGGAUAUUGAGAGCAACCUGAGCAAUAAUCCAACAAUAUUGAAGACAACGCAACAAUUGGAUGAAAAGAAUGUAAUUAGGAAUGAAACACCUUCCAUCAACAAUAUCUCAGAUGGCAAAGAGAAAAUUAAACCAGGAGAUGAUGCAGGCAUGCCUGGGAUAGAAGAGAAUGACCCUGCUAAAGCUGAAGAUACACUCACAGCUUUGAAGAAGCCACUUGUUUCAGCUUCUCAGAAUGAACCUCAACCCAAUGGAAAUCUUCCAACAGAAAAGCCCCAUGCUCCAAAUCUGGCUCAAGGUGUAAACAGUAACCAGGAUGGAAAUGCUGACAUGAUAAGGCAGAUCCCACCAAAUCCUCUUCAGCAUUUGAUUCCUGAUCAUGUCCUAGAUAAUCAGAAAGCUGAAAAAGAACAUUUAAAAAAGGACAGAAUCAGUGACUUCCAAAGAAUGAAGCAAAGCCGGUUCUUUGAUGAGAAUGAGUCCCCUGUUGAUCCGCAACAUGGCUCUAAACUGGCGGAUUAUAAUGGGGAUGAUGGGAACGUGGGUGAGUAUGAGGCAGACAAGCAGGCUGAGCUGGCCUACAAUGAGGAAGAGGAUGGUGAUGGUGGUGAAGAAGACGUCCAAGGAUAAGAUGUUAUCAUUUUCCAAAGCUUCAUUCUUGACACUGGUGUUCUAGUCUUCUAGAUGAUGAGGAGAGAGAGCUUCAAAUGGAUCUUGCAGACUACAGAAAACCACACUUCAACGAUGUACUUUAAAUUCCAAAUUACCUUUAUCUGAGGAAUUCUGCAAGUGGGGAAAAAAUGCAACCAUUUUUUCAGUAUUUACUGUAAGAGACACUGAAAAGAAUGACAGCAAAAAGUUAACAGUGGAAGGAGAAGGUAAAAUGCUGUGUAUAUGUAUAUAGUUGUACUUAUUUCGCAAAUGAACAGAACCAGAGAUGGUUUGUUCUUUUAGGAGAUGCUUAAUAACCUGAAACUACGCAAAGUUGGGUGCACCUGGCUCUUUAUUGGACUGGGCAGUAAGACUGUUCCUUACCUGUAACCUUUGAAAUAAUAGCUAACAUUGCAAAAUAACUUAGGUCAACAUGUUUCUGAAACUAAGCCACUUUGUAAACUGGAGAACUUUGUACAGUUUGUAUCUUAUAUAUGAAUUACUUCAUUGCAGGAAUAACUGUACAGAUGGGACACUCUUUGAUACCACAAUGUAUUUAACCCAUGCAAGCAAAUUAUUCAUUUCUCUUACUGUUGUGAUUUGCAUUUUAGAGACUACAUUUCAUUUUGAGAAAGUUGACUGAAAAUGUGUUUGUGUUUUAUGAAAGAACUUUCCUUACUAUAACUAAGGAAGGUCUGUGUGAUACAUACUACAUUAAUUCUAUAUGAGACAAUAUUGUUAACUCUAGGAGUGACUAAAGUUAUCCAUAGUAAAAAUGCAGCAACAGUGUAGUAAUUUUAUAGGAUAAUUACCAGAGUUUAAAUCUGCAAAACCUACAAACAGUAUUUCCAACACAUAAAAGCUAUAAAUAUUUUAUUUGCCUUUGUUUUUACAGCAGUGAUUUCAGUCUUAUGCAAUAAUAGCCGAAUGUAAUGGAGAGUGGCUAAAAGUGCAAUCUCAUCAGUUUCUUCAUUCAUUCCUGUCUGAACCUCUGAUGUGUUUGAGAACUGGGAGUCAUGCUCAGUUUGUUUCAACUUCAGUGCUGUAGUAUGGAUUACUCAAAACGCUGGGCAUGUUCUAUGUUUUUGCGGUUUUGUACUGUGUUUUUGUGUAAGAGGUCUUAUUUUGGUUUUUUUGUUUGUUUUGAUGUUUAAGCACUUUCUGAAGUUCACAGAAAUGGUUAUGCCCAUCUAUAUCCUGAGCAACAAAUUAUUAACCCUAGUUAUCAACAAGGGCUACUGUGAAUAAAGAAUUUAGGUCCUAUGACAGGGUUGAUUGUACUUCAUGAUUUCUGCUGUACUCAGGUUAUUGGUCUCUUUGGUAAGUUAAAGUUAAUUUGCAGUAAUUUAAUUAACAAUUUGCAUUGAAUAAAAAGGAGAGAUCUGUUUAAGACUUCCCUUAGAACAGUGUUUGUUUCUGACAACAAAAAUGGAAGUUUGUGCUUGGGCACUUCUCAAACACACAAACCUGGACACAUGUUUGUCUUAGUUUUAUUUUAAAGCUGUAAAACUUACAAGGCUGAACCUGCCUUAGAGGUAGUUUCUCUCCCCCUCUCCCUGCCACCAUUCCUAACACCCCUUUCUCCAUAAGUCUUCAGUGUUGUACUUUGUGAAUUGACCAAAAUGUGUCUGCCCCAAAUUAGGUGUAAUUUUAUUAGGAUUUUGCUGUUGAAAUCCAAAAUUUAAUAGGUUCUAAUAAAACUUAAUGCAGUUUUA
Lacerta agilis (Sand lizard) is the source of this 3011-nucleotide RNA transcript. It is a transcript of the gene named golgi membrane protein 2, with no coding region annotated. The transcript has 11 exons. Lineage: Eukaryota; Metazoa; Chordata; Lepidosauria; Squamata; Lacertidae. The record is from RefSeq and is a predicted model, not a curated record.